Molecule: small RNA, 505 nt
Filed under: Pan troglodytes (chimpanzee)
Lineage: Eukaryota; Metazoa; Chordata; Mammalia; Primates; Hominidae
Description: retained intron
Source: RNAcentral
CAGCCACAUCCGUCCAUGUGGUUGCGGUGAUUGAACCCAUCAUUCAGCAUGCCGACUGGUUCUUCCCUGAAGAGGUGGAAUUUAAUGUAUCAGAAGCAUUUGUACCUCUCACCACCCCAAAUUCGAAUCACUCAUUCCACACUGGAAACGACUCUGACUCGGGGACCCUGGAGAGGAAGCGGCCUGCUAGCAUGGCGGUGAUGGAAGGAGACUUGGUGAAGAAGGAAAGGUAUGAUUUGACCGUUCAUUUCCAAACCAGCAGUAAAUAUGUUGUUAGACCCGUGGUAUCUGGUAUCGCUCAGUGGACUUGGGAUUUGAGAGUGGUCCCCAUCCACCCAUGACUGAUGGUGUCCAGAUAGUUUCUGGAAUUCCAAGCACUAAUCUCACCAUAAAGUCGGUGUGUAGCUUGUCAGUUAACGUUUCUUCCACGUGUAUUCCAGCUUAACUUGGUGGUGUGCUUGGUAAGCCCUGCAGUGGAACGGCAUCAUACACAUGUUAAAAUUGA